GGGAUUGUGGCUCAGUGGUAGAGCGCUCCCCUAACACGGGUGGGAUCUGGGUUCGAUCCUCAGCACCA
Molecule: transfer RNA, 68 nt
Filed under: Ictidomys tridecemlineatus (thirteen-lined ground squirrel)
Lineage: Eukaryota; Metazoa; Chordata; Mammalia; Rodentia; Sciuridae
Description: Spermophilus tridecemlineatus (thirteen-lined ground squirrel) tRNA
Rfam family: tRNA
About the family: Transfer RNA (tRNA) molecules are approximately 80 nucleotides in length.
Source: Rfam by way of RNAcentral